This 1540-nucleotide long non-coding RNA is filed under the name Rattus norvegicus (Norway rat). RNAcentral describes it as "long non-coding RNA NONRATT033156". The record is from RNAcentral. Lineage: Eukaryota; Metazoa; Chordata; Mammalia; Rodentia; Muridae.
ACUUCAGGAAGCAGGCGACUUCCUCCUCUAUGGCUAUCCAAGCCUCAUAUCUCCUUUCCUUUUGGCAGCCUUGAGGGCCCCAGCCUUCUCCCCGUGUCCGAGUGGACGAGUCAUCGAAGCUGUGAUUCCCACAGACCCAAGCGUGGAUGCUACUCGAAGGAGUAACUUUUCAUCAACAGCCAAGCGGCCAGAGGAGAGAAAGGAUGUAUACAUUUGUCUGGUUUUAUGGGAUUGUGGAGACCUGACUUGGAGCUACUGGCAGACAGACGUGAGAAUUGGUACCUAAAGUUAAGCAUGACUCAAGCACACAGAUCAAAUGUUUGCUUCUUUGCUUAUUGCUUGACCCAGAAGGAAGACAGAGGGAGUACGGAAUACAAGGACAACUUCAAGGUUUCCAUUAGCUUCUCUCCAAGAGUAAACACCCAGGCUUGAUUUUACAAAACAAAUAUUUCUGAAUGAGACUGGCAGGAUGUCCCUUCUUUGGCCAGAAUGUGGAGGAGCUUGUAACUCAAGGAAAAGGGAAAGCAGCACAGCAUGAGGAAGUGUUUCAUCCUGGGGCAAUAAAGCUCAUUCCUCAUUGUCUAUAUUUUCUCUAUAGUUUCUCUGCGAUUUGAGGAGAGGAAAUUCUUUUAAAAUGGAUGAUGUUUUCCCAUCAACCUCAGAAAAGAUGGUGGGUGAUUGGGUAGAGAAAGGAAGGAGGGAGAAGGGGGUCAGUUUUAUCUAAUUAGAAAAAAAAACAACAUAAAUCAAAGUACUGUAUAGAUUCCUGUCAUUAAUGCAUAGUGGGUCUAUUUUUUGUUCCAACCUUUUAUUGGGGGAGUAUUUUCUUUUUAAGUCAGAGGAAUUUGAGACUUGGCAAAAAGUACCUUUGGGUUUUGUUUUGUUUUUUUUUUCUUGGUAGUGAAGCAAAUAUCAUUUUAAUGUUAAACAAUCUCGCAGGAAACAGCAGGAUGGUUCCUUUGUGAGUCCCUUCUUUUCCUCUCGUGGGGCUCCCCACUUCAGAUCAAUUAGGGCUCCAGCAUCUUUGGGGAAGGGUUAUCACAGAGUGUCACAGGCUCAAACGUUGUCUUUUCAUGCCAUCCAAGCAAGUCUAACAGUUACAAAUCCUUAACUUCUUAAAGGACGUUAUGGGAAUUCCCGGGUUUCUUUUUAAGGUGGGAAGAAGCCAAGUUUUUUUUUUUUUUUCACAAGUAUGAAGUUUAAAAGAAUCAAGGAAUGAGACAAGAGCUUCUGAUGAGAGGGGACCCCGCCUUAACUGCUAGCCAGCAGCAAGGCUUCAGGGUGGAGAGGGGUGAGAAGUCCUAGCUGUACCCACCCCAGAAGUCUGUAGAGCAUCAGGGAAGGCAGCCCGGGCCUGACAAAGGUCUCUGAGUGACAAACAGAUGAAAAUUUCCAGCAGGAUUGUCCAGAAGACAAAUUUCUUUGAGUGGUUCCUGGGUUCGUUUCAGCAGGAUCUAGGACCUCGGGGAACCAGUUUACACACACACACACACACACACACACACACACACACACACACACUGGUAAGAACCAGUAGCCC